AGAAAUAGACAGUGGGAGAGAGAGAGAGAGAGACAGGACCAACACACUGGACAGCAAACGGGUGAGAGAGAGCAGGAGAGAGAGAGAUAGACAGUGGGAGAGAGAGAGAGAGAGAGAGACAGGACCAACACACUGGACAGCAAACGGGUGAGAGAGAGCAGGAGAGAGAGAGACAGGACCAACACACUGGACAGCAAACGGGUGAGAGAGAGCAGGAGAGAGAGAGACAGGACCAACACACUGGACAGCAAACAGGUGAGAGAGAGCAGGAGAGAGAGAGAUAGACAGUGGGAGAGGGAGAGAGAGAGAAACAGGGGGAAAGGGGAGAGAGGGAGAGAGAGAGAUGGAGAUAUACACUACCCGUCAACAGUUUUAGAACACCUACUCAUUCAAGGGUUUUUCUUUAUUUGGACUAUUUUCUACAUUGUAGAAUAAUAGUGAAGACAUCAACACUAUGAAAUAACACAUUUGGAAUCAUGUAGUAACCAAAAAAGUGUUAAACAAAUCCAAAUAUAUUUUAUAU
Long non-coding RNA from Oncorhynchus tshawytscha (Chinook salmon), 523 nucleotides. The record is from Ensembl. Lineage: Eukaryota; Metazoa; Chordata; Actinopteri; Salmoniformes; Salmonidae.